This 491-nucleotide ribosomal RNA is filed under the name uncultured bacterium. RNAcentral describes it as "partial 16S ribosomal RNA". It matches the Rfam family "Bacterial small subunit ribosomal RNA", at positions 29 to 506 of the family's 1533-position model. The record is from RNAcentral.
AGUGAACGCUGGCGGUAGGCCUAACACAUGCAAGUCGAACGGCAGCACAGUAAGAGCUUGCUCUUACGGGUGGCGAGUGGCGGACGGGUGAGGAAUACAUCGGAAUCUACUUUUUCGUGGGGGAUAACGUAGGGAAACUUACGCUAAUACCGCAUACGACCUACGGGUGAAAGCAGGGGAUCUUCGGACCUUGCGCGAUUGAAUGAGCCGAUGUCGGAUUAGCUAGUUGGCGGGGUAAAGGCCCACCAAGGCGACGAUCCGUAGCUGGUCUGAGAGGAUGAUCAGCCACACUGGAACUGAGACACGGUCCAGACUCCUACGGGAGGCAGCAGUGGGGAAUAUUGGACAAUGGGCGCAAGCCUGAUCCAGCCAUACCGCGUGGGUGAAGAAGGCCUUCGGGUUGUAAAGCCCUUUUGUUGGGAAAGAAAAGCGGCAGGUUAAUACCCCGCUGUUCUGACGGUACCCAAAGAAUAAGCACCGGCUAACUUCGU